GAUGAAGAACGUAGUGAAAUGCGAUAAGUAAUGUGAAUUGCAGAAUUCAGUGAAUCAUCGAAUCUUUGAACGCACCUUGCGCCCUUUGGCUAUUCCGAAGGGCAUGCCUGUUUGAGUAUCAUGAACACCUCAACUCUCAUGGCUUGCCAUGACGAGCUUGGACUUUGGGGGUCUUGCUGGCCUGUGGGUCGGCUCCUCUCAAACGGAUCAGCUUUCCAGUGUUUGGUGGCGUCACGGGUGUGAUAACUAUCUACGCCUGUGGUUUUCUGCCAGAUAACCUUCAGCGAUGGAGGUUCGCUGGGGCUCAUAAAUGUCUCUCUUCAGUGGAGACAGCUUUUUGGACGUUUGAUCUCAAAUCAGGUAGGACUACCCGCUGAACUUAAGCAUAUCAAUAAGCGGAGGA
RNAcentral lists this unclassified non-coding RNA (403 nucleotides) under soil metagenome. RNAcentral's name for it is "partial contains 5.8S ribosomal RNA, internal transcribed spacer 2, and large subunit ribosomal RNA". The stretch from base 1 to 121 matches the Rfam family "5.8S ribosomal RNA", at positions 35 to 154 of the family's 154-position model. The record is from RNAcentral.